Drosophila ficusphila is the source of this 866-nucleotide long non-coding RNA. RefSeq lists it as uncharacterized. The transcript has 3 exons. Lineage: Eukaryota; Metazoa; Arthropoda; Insecta; Diptera; Drosophilidae. The record is from RefSeq and is a predicted model, not a curated record.
AUUCUCUUAAUAAGAGCCAACAUUUUUAAUUUAUUUGUGAAUAAUCGAAACAUCCAUAAAAACAAUCAACAAUUUUUCUUAAAAAUGGUGAAUGAACUACCGUUACAAAAGGUAUUACAGUUUUAAAUGCACAACUCCGCUUAGCUUUAGCAACACAAAAUACAAAACAUUAACAGGAGUGGCGUGGAAUUCGCCCGAAGGACAACAGAGCAGCACUGGGCGGCUAAAGCUGAGUCUUAUAAAUAAUGCAGAAAAAGCUUUUAAUUAUACAAAAGCAUCAGGCCGACCACACAAUUCAACGUCCAAACACUUAGCAGCCAACCAAGUGUGAAGAACCGUGUUUAUUAGCCCAAAACAACAGCAUCGGCGACAGCAAUACUCCACAGAUUUCAAUUUAAUUUCUUAGCAGUAGCGGAAGUCCAGUUCAGAGAUAAGCCGGAGUGGCCGAUGGCAUUAAAUCAGCAAACUAAUGGCCACUAAGCAAACGACAGGACGACACGCACCCCUCAGGCAGGAGAUGCCGGCUUCCAACUGUGGGGGCAGCUCGCCCAAGUGCCUUUCAGUUCACAUCCUGCCCUCUCGGCCCUAACUUAAAAGCACUUCCAAUCGCCCCCAAAGCAAUUUUCAACUCAGCUCACUGCCUCUGUAAGUGGCCAAAUUCGGAGGCUCCCUUGCUUUGGCUAACAACUUAGCAUGUGUUUAAGUAAAAUCCCUGAGGACGGUGCACGUAGUGACGAAUCUCACUUCAAUCCGGUUUUUGUACAUUUAUACGGAGAUGCGCCUAGAACAAACGUGUUAAGGUAACGUUCAGACGCAAGAUUACUAAAGACCAAUACUUGCAAAAUAGAAAAAUGUUUCAGCUUCCG